This is an RNA transcript of Myotis myotis, 2415 nucleotides long. It is a transcript of the gene named cysteine rich protein 3, with no coding region annotated. Lineage: Eukaryota; Metazoa; Chordata; Mammalia; Chiroptera; Vespertilionidae. The record is from RefSeq and is a predicted model, not a curated record. The transcript is spliced from 5 exons.
AGCCUUGUUUACACAAUUUGUUCCCAACACAGUACAGCAUCAGUACAGUGACCACCUUCCCAUCUAUGUGUUCUAGGAACAGAGAGCACAGCGUGCCCCGCCUGGCCAAAGCACCAGAUAUGCAGCCCAGCACACCUACCAGAAAUGUGUUUCAUUUUCUCUACAGUUUUUCCAUUCAGGAGAGAAAAAGAUCAAACAUUUUGGAGUUGGCAAGAGGCUGGAAAUUGACUCCUGAUUCUGUGACCUUGAGCUUCAUGAAGAAACUGAAAACUAUAUAAAGCGGAGAAGGUGAGCUCCCUGGGCAAGAACUGGCACCGCUUCUGCCUGAAAUGUGAGCACUGCCACAGUGUCCUGUCCCCAGGAGGGCAUGCAGAGGUGAGACCUAUCUGGGGCACACCACCCUAUGUCUGUUACUGUCCCCCAGGCACCAGCCCCACUGUGGCCCUGUCAGCUCACCAAAGGCAACCUCAGUGCCAACUCCCAAAACCACUUCCAGGGUGGGCCCCACACCAGCCAGGAUUUGGGGACCCUGAGUAGUACUGGUGAGCCCCAUGCCAUUUGAGGGGGAGGAGAAGGCAGCAGCACUGCUUCCUGAUCUGCUCUUGCCCUUUUCCCCUGACCACAGCGGCAAUUCUGGCAUGCCAGCCCACCCUUGCCCCUCCCAGCCCCACCAGCCCAGGCCAGUAGGCAGACACCUGGCAGUGUGUUUGGUAGGAAGACCUGUGAGGCACAGGAGAAGCCCCCUUAUCCCUGAGCAACCCCUUUUCUUCUGCUUGUGCCUAGCACAAUGGGAGGCCGUAUUGCCACAAGCCAUGCUAUGGGAUUCUCUUCGGACCCAGUGGGGUGAACAUUGGUGGUGUGGGCUCCUACCUCUACAACUCUCCCAUUCUCACCCGUGCCAACACCACCCCCCUUGACCCCAGCAGUUUCAGCCCCCCAAGACCCAGGACUGGCCUCCCCCAGCGCAAGAAAAGUAAGUGAGGCUGAGCCCCCUCCUUCUGAUCCUUCCUAGGCUGGGGAACGGGGUGGAAGCAGGUAGCAGUCUCUCACAUAGUCCUAUGCCUCACAUUCCUACAACUUUGUUCAUGGCAAAAUCUUCCAUUAUCCAAGACCAGUUUUUUUAUGUUUCCUCAUGUCAGCUGCUGAGCUCAUAGGUAAAGUGGGCAAAUGGCAUUACCACCCCCAUUUUAUAGGUGAGGAAACUGAGGUCAGAGAGGGCAAGUGACCUUGUGUAGUCACAGCCAGUCAGAGGCAAAGCUAGCCUGGAAGUCAGGCUUUCCCAGGCAAGACCAUGGAAGGAAUGACUUACGAGGAGUCAUCGAGACAGGCCAGUCCCUCACAUUCUUCCACUGCUCCCCUCUGUUACUUUCUCCUGUCCCCUAUAGUGGGCAGUGACACCGUGCUCCCCAAACACCUGACACCCCUGCCCUGGGCAGCUCUUAUAUCAGCUCAGGUUUCCUGAGGAUUGAGUUGCUGACAGGGUUGGGCUGGUGGGCACCUGAACCCCUGAGAGGACGAGAAGGAAGUAGGUGGUCCCUCCUGCAGAUAGGGAUGGGACAGGGGGUGGGAUCAGAGGGGACUCAGCUCUGUCUGAGGUAGGCAUACUUAUGGCCACCUGAUGGGAAGCUCUGGAGUGAGCAUGGCUUUGGGAAGAGGACAGUGCCAUAUGCAGACUGGUGCUAGAGGGCCCUACUUAGGCCUGGCCUCCACCUCAGCCCUAGCCAGGGCUUCUUCCCCUUAAAGGCCCUUCCCACAUGAAGACAUUCACUGGGGAGACCUCGUUGUGCCCUGGCUGUGAGGAACCUGUCUAUUUUGGUAAGUGACAAGAGAAAGUGAAAGGAGGGGAGUACAAGGUGGGCAUCAAAGGGCAGGGAGGUGGUGCAAGGGUCCCUGCCCUGCCCCUAGGGUUACUAACUCUCUCCACCACCAGCUGAGAAGGUGAUGUCUUUGGGCAGAAAUUGGCACCGACCCUGUCUGAGGUGCCAGCGCUGCCGGAAGACCCUGACUGCUGGGAGUCAUGCUGAGGUGUGAACAUUGGUGAUGUGGGCUGCUACAUCUAUGACCCCGUGGAGAUAAAAUCCAAAUGAGAUGCUUACAGAAGUCACCCUAACUCAGGCCUCCCAUCGUCCCCUCCAUGAUCCAAUGGGAGCUACAGAAUUCUUCAAUCCCUUAGAGGUAGGGGAGGAUGGGAUUCUGGCAGUGUGGGCCUCAGCUCCAUAGCAGACCAGAAAGUCUAGACUUUCUCUGCCAACUCCUCCCUUUCUCAUUCCUAUCUGCUCAGGGGAACUGGUCCACCCCAUUUUGAAUGUUGGCCUCUUGUCCUUUCCAAUUCCUUUCCCCAGCAAAUUCUAUAACUUCAAGGUACUCAUAAAACUUGUGUUUAUUCAGCCUUCUCCAAUAAAAUGUUGGCUCCCA